GUGUAUGCCUUCCAUACACAGGCGUGCCAUACUCAUGCUUAGAAGGGCAUCGCGCAUGCGCCUGUCUGUCUGAACCUUGUGGCAGCGGGGCUGUGUUUUUCAUGUUCGCGCAGUCUCGACAACUAUGUAAAUAGAACGUCUAAAUUAUGAGUGUUCUUAGAGUUUCUUGCCUUUUGUUCUGCAUCCACAUGUCCUUAUGAGUUACACAUUAUUCUGCAGUUUGGACAGACGUCGUGGAAGAGUAUGCUAGGUUUUCUAAACCUUCGUGAUUACAUGACACAUCCAUAGAGCUUCUGAUUUUCCAGGAAGAUUGGAAAUCCACAAGUCUUUUUACCGUAUCUAGGCAAGGGAGUAGUUCUGGAUUAAAGAUGAGUAAUUUCAACUCAAGUGUCUUCCAGUUUACUUCUUA
RNAcentral lists this long non-coding RNA (409 nucleotides) under Patiria miniata (bat star). RNAcentral's name for it is "uncharacterized LOC119736261". Lineage: Eukaryota; Metazoa; Echinodermata; Asteroidea; Valvatida; Asterinidae. The record is from RNAcentral.